AACGAACGCUGGCGGCAGGCCUAACACAUGCAAGUCGAACGGUAACUUUUGGUGCUUGCACCGAAAGACGAGUGGCGAACGGGUGAGUAACGCGUAUGCAAUCUGCCUUUUACUAGAGUAUAGCCCAGAGAAAUUUGGAUUAAUCCUCUAUAAUAUCAUUAAUUCGCAUGAAUAUAUGAUUAAAGCUUCGGCGGUAAAAGAUGAGCAUGCGUCCUAUUAGUUAGUAGGUGAGGUAAUGGCUCACCUAGACUACGAUAGGUAGGGGUCCUGAGAGGGAGAUCCCCCACACUGGUACUGAGACACGGACCAGACUCCUACGGGAGGCAGCAGUGAGGAAUAUUGGACAAUGGACGAAAGUCUGAUCCAGCUAUGCCGCGUGCAGGAUGACGGCCCUAUGGGU
RNAcentral lists this ribosomal RNA (400 nucleotides) under uncultured Bacteroidota bacterium. RNAcentral's name for it is "bacterial SSU rRNA". It matches the Rfam family "Bacterial small subunit ribosomal RNA", at positions 29 to 423 of the family's 1533-position model. Lineage: Bacteria; Pseudomonadati; Bacteroidota. The record is from RNAcentral.